GGUUGGCUAGCUCAGUUGGUUAGAGCGUCGAGCUAAUAGCGCAUUGCGUGUCACUCGAAGGUCGUGGGUUCGACCCCCCCGCUGACCA
RNAcentral lists this transfer RNA (88 nucleotides) under Rhizoctonia solani. Its description in RNAcentral is "tRNA-Ile". It matches the Rfam family "tRNA". From Rfam's summary of the family: Transfer RNA (tRNA) molecules are approximately 80 nucleotides in length. The record is from RNAcentral. Lineage: Eukaryota; Fungi; Basidiomycota; Agaricomycetes; Cantharellales; Ceratobasidiaceae.